GAUGAACGCUGGCGGCGUGCCUAAUACAUGCAAGUCGAGCGAACAGACGAGGAUCUUACUCCUCUGACGUUAGCGGCGGACGGGUGAGUAACACGUGGAUAACCUACCUAUAAGACUGGGAUAACUUCGGGAAACCGGAGCUAAUACCUGAUUACCUCUUGAACCGCAUGGUUCAACAGUGAAAGACGGUCUUUCUGUCACUUAUAGAUGGAUCCGCGUCGCAUUAGCUAGUUGGUAAGGUAACGGCUUACCACGGCAACGAUGCGUAGCCGACCUGAGAGGGUGAUCGGCGACACUGGAACUGAGACACGGUCAAGAAGCCUACGGGAGGCAGCAGUAGGGAAGCUGCCGCAAUGGGCGAGAGCCUGACGGAGCAACGCCGCGUGAGUGAAGAAGGUCUUCGGAGCGGAAAACUCUGUUAUUAGGGAAGAACAAAUGUGUAAGUAACUAUGCACGUCGUGACGGUACCGAAUCAGAAAGCCACGGCUAACUACGUG
RNAcentral lists this ribosomal RNA (497 nucleotides) under uncultured bacterium. RNAcentral describes it as "partial 16S ribosomal RNA". It matches the Rfam family "Bacterial small subunit ribosomal RNA", at positions 28 to 507 of the family's 1533-position model. The record is from RNAcentral.